This 478-nucleotide ribosomal RNA is filed under the name uncultured bacterium. RNAcentral's name for it is "partial 16S ribosomal RNA". It matches the Rfam family "Bacterial small subunit ribosomal RNA", at positions 28 to 523 of the family's 1533-position model. The record is from RNAcentral.
GACGAACGCUGGCGGCGUGCUUAACACAUGCAAGUCGAACGGUAAGGCCCUUCGGGGUACACGAGUGGCGAACGGGUGAGUAACACGUGGGUGAUCUGCCCUGCACUUCGGGAUAAGCCUGGGAAACUGGGUCUAAUACCGGAUAGGACUCCGGACUGCAUGGUCUGGGGUGGAAAGCUUUUGCGGGGUGGGAUGGGCCCGCGGCCUAUCAGCUUGUUGGUGGGGUGAUGGCCUACCAAGGCGACGACGGGUAGCCGGCCUGAGAGGGUAACCGGCCACACUGGGACUGAGAUACGGCCCAGACUCCUACGGGAGGCAGCAGUGGGGAGUAUUGCACAAUGGGCGCAAGCCUGAUGCAGCGACGCCGCGUGAGGGACGACGGCCUUCGGGUUGUAAACCUCUUUCAGCAUCGACGAAGCGAAAGUGACGGUAGGUGCAGAAGAAGGACCGGCCAACUACGUGCCAGCCGCCGCAGUAA